AUCCCUAGCAGGGUUGUGUAUAUCUCUCCCCAGCACAAAGUCUGGUAUAUUACUUUCCUCACCAGCGUUUUGCUCUUCCUCAGCAGAGUUGGUGUGUUAUUCCCCGACAUAGUUGUUUUCCCAAUCGGAUCUCCCGAGCAGAGGUUGGUGUUAAUAAUUUUCCCCAGCUAGUCCCCGAGUGGAGCGGGUUCAAAGAAAUUUAUCUCCAGCAGCU
This 214-nucleotide long non-coding RNA is filed under the name Lathyrus oleraceus (garden pea). RNAcentral's name for it is "Pisum sativum (pea) long non-coding RNA (PSAT_LNC027244)". The record is from RNAcentral. Lineage: Eukaryota; Viridiplantae; Streptophyta; Magnoliopsida; Fabales; Fabaceae.